GUUUCCUACGGGGCGCAGCAGUGAGGAAUAUUGGUCAAUGGGCGGGAGCCUGAACCAGCCAAGCCGCGUGAAGGAAGAAGGCGCCAAGCGUCGUAAACUUCUUUUGUCGGGGAACAAAGGGCGCCACGUGUGGCGUUGUGAGUGUACCCGAAGAAAAAGCAUCGGCUAGCUCCGUGCCAGCAGCCGCGGUAAUACGGAGGAUGCGAGCGUUAUCCGGAUUUAUUGGGUUUAAAGGGUGCGUAGGCGGUCCGGAAAGUCAUCGGUAAAAGCCCUGGGCGCAACCCCGGCGAGCCGUUAAAACUGUC
RNAcentral lists this ribosomal RNA (305 nucleotides) under uncultured bacterium. RNAcentral describes it as "bacterial SSU rRNA". It matches the Rfam family "Bacterial small subunit ribosomal RNA", at positions 334 to 637 of the family's 1533-position model. The record is from RNAcentral.